Molecule: ribosomal RNA, 439 nt
Filed under: uncultured bacterium
Lineage: Bacteria
Description: partial 16S ribosomal RNA
Rfam family: Bacterial small subunit ribosomal RNA
Source: RNAcentral
CUACGGGAGGCUGCAGUGGGGAAUAUUGGACAAUGGGCGAAAGCCUGAUCCAGCAAUGCCGCGUGAGUGAUGAAGGCCUUAGGGUUGUAAAGCUCUUUUACCAGGGAUGAUAAUGACAGUACCUGGAGAAUAAGCUCCGGCUAACUCCGUGCCAGCAGCCGCGGUAAUACGGAGGGAGCUAGCGUUGUUCGGAAUUACUGGGCGUAAAGCGCACGUAGGCGGCAUAUCAAGUCAGGGGUGAAAUCCCGGGGCUCAACCCCGGAACUGCCCUUGAAACUGGUAAGCUAGAAUCUUGGAGAGGCGAGUGGAAUUCCGAGUGUAGAGGUGAAAUUCGUAGAUAUUCGGAAGAACACCAGUGGCGAAGGCGACUCGCUGGACAAGUAUUGACGCUGAGGUGCGAAAGCGUGGGGAGCAAACAGGAUUAGAUACCCCAGUAGUC